Molecule: long non-coding RNA, 1006 nt
Organism: Gavialis gangeticus (Gharial)
Lineage: Eukaryota; Metazoa; Chordata; Crocodylia; Gavialidae
Exons: 3
Source: RefSeq, a predicted model, not a curated record
AGCAUAUUUGAAGAUUCCCAACAUCUUACAAGAGACAGUACAUCCUGCACAGUAAGGCCUGGACUAAUUAAUCCUCCACACCUCUAUGAGCAAGUUCCUGUUCCUAGAAUAUACCAAGGACACUGACUACCUCACUUCCCACAACUCUAGUGUAGUGUUGACCAAAUGCAGUGUUAUAUGUAAAAGAUCCUAGACAAAACAAGUAUCUUCAUCUUCAUAUGCAAACCAAGAAGGCUUAGCAGAAAGACAACCAGAAAAGUGAGAGACAGAUAUUUAUUUGCAGAAUUCAUAUAAAGGACAGAAUUUUAUAUGUAACAAAUGACGGCAUAGAAGGAAUUGCUACUACAAUUCAGAGUGAAGACAAAAAUAUUUCCACUCUUGAUAAGCAAAAGGAAAAAUUCAGCUGAUCAUAUGGAAUUUCACUCAAUCUUUUUGAAGCCAUUCAGUUUCCUGCAUGGUACACUACUUCCAAAAUCUGUAGGAAUGGGAUAUAUUUAAACUUUUAUUUUGUUUUGUUUUACCAGCAUGAAUAAUUCAGCAAACCUAUAGUCUGUACCAUAAAUGGCAUCCAUUAGAUUUUUUUCUCUUACAUUAUGACCUUUCUUUAAAAUUAAUAAAAUCAAAAUGUAUAUGUAAAUUAUAGAUUGAAUGGAUAUAACCUAAACUCUGAAGUCUUUUUGAAUGGAUGCAUGGGAGAAGAGUAUGAUUCAAAACCCUUCAAUAAUGCAGUUUAACAUUUAAACAAUUAACAACCAUCAGCAAUGAAAACUUAUUAAAACAUACCUCUAAUGAGUCUAAGCAAGUUGUAUCAUCAGAUGACCUGGAUCUAUUUUUCUGUAAACAAUUUUUCAAUACUGUAAAGUUUUUCAGUUGUAUGCAUGUAUUAUUAUACAGUAUCUAGACACCUGUAGCAGGCUCAAGGAUACAACCCUGGUGUCUGAUGCACCCUGGUGGUCAGGCUCGCCUGCUGAGCUCUCUGGCCACUAGGCCUGUGCGAAGCAGCUAG